UGCCUUCUCUAGAGUCAUUGCAGCCGAACUGUUGGCCUCUUCCCUCCCGCCCUUCCCUCACUCUCCCCCUUGCAUCUCCUUCUGCGUGCGCCACACGUGACUACACACCAUCUCCGCCGCGCUCCAUCCGCGCCGCUUGCCUCUUUCCUCUGGAGAGAGGUUGACAGGGGAUGGGUGCCGUGCGGAAGGAUAAAGGGGAGAAGAGAACUGGGGGCGAGCGGGGUGGCGAAUCGGAGGGCAACAUCGUCACUGUUCCUGCGAUGUAGUUAGGAGGGCUAGAUGU
RNAcentral lists this small nucleolar RNA (283 nucleotides) under Leishmania donovani. RNAcentral's name for it is "H/ACA box snoRNA LD14Cs1H3". Lineage: Eukaryota; Euglenozoa; Kinetoplastea; Trypanosomatida; Trypanosomatidae. The record is from RNAcentral.